This is a long non-coding RNA of Hyaena hyaena (striped hyena), 449 nucleotides long. RefSeq lists it as uncharacterized. The record is from RefSeq and is a predicted model, not a curated record. The transcript has 4 exons. Lineage: Eukaryota; Metazoa; Chordata; Mammalia; Carnivora; Hyaenidae.
GAAACAACAAAAUUGGGAAAGCGGGUUAAAGACGUUCUUUACUCGACUUUUAAGCCCAUCAUCCCCACACAAAGGGGAGCUCACAGUCUAACAGUAGACAGAUAAGUAAGGAAAUCGACGAUCCCGUGGACGGGGGCCAUCAGAGACCGUGUGGGACGCAAAGAAAUACUCCGCAGAGCUCAUUCGCUGAUUGGCUCACCCAGUGUCUGAGCAUUGGUGCUCUGUCAGCUGCUCUGCAGCCGAUGGGAGCAGGGCAGUGAACAAGACACCGGUUCCAGCUCUUGUCAAUCAAGAAGAUCCCUCCAGGUCCUGUGAGGAGAAGCGACACAGGGUGGCAGGCUGGGAAGGGGGACCAGUUAAAAGACUACAAGGACCCUCUGGGGUUCCAGUGGAAUCAUGAGCAGAAGCUAGAAAGAGGAGGAUCCGGAGUGCAUGGGAGACUGGUAAAU